Long non-coding RNA from Rhagoletis zephyria (snowberry fruit fly), 341 nucleotides. RefSeq lists it as uncharacterized. Lineage: Eukaryota; Metazoa; Arthropoda; Insecta; Diptera; Tephritidae. The record is from RefSeq and is a predicted model, not a curated record.
UAAACGUCCCAUCUUCGACACGUUAACAAAAAAUGUGGAGCGUUUAGUAGGGAUAUGAGAAUGGUGGUUCGAAUGCGAUUCACGGGCUGUGGUUUGAUGGUCGUUAGACCUUACAUCGAAAUCGUUAUACAUGAUCUUCAUCAACCCCAUCCUGACCCGUUCAGUUCGCCUUUGAGCGCAUCUGUAUGUACACAUGUUCCGUCUUUCCUAUUUAGUUUCAGUACGCAUUACAUAAGCUACGGUAGAUGAAAGGCAUUGGUAGAUGAUUUGGCUAUGAAUCUUUUCUUGUUUGCUUUGAUCGAUUCACUAGCAAUGUACUGAGGAUAUAAUAUAACAAAACU